AAUGAACGCUGGCGGUAUGCCUAACACAUGCAAGUCGAACGGCAGCACAGUAAGAUCUUGCUCUUGCUGGUGGCGAGUGGCGGACGGGUGAGGAAUACAUCGGAAUCUACUUUUUCGUGGGUGAUAACGUAGGGAAACUUACACUAAUACCUCAUACUACCUACGGCUGAAAGCAGGGGAUCUUCGGACCUUGCGCGAUUGAAUUAGCCGAUGUCGGAUUAGCUAGUUGGCUGGGUAAAGUCCCACCAAGGCGACGAUGCGUAGCUGGUCUGAGAGGAUGAUCAGCCACACUGGAACUGAGACACGGUCCAGACUCCUACGGGAGGCAGCAGUGGGGAAUAUUGGACAAUGGGCGAAAGCCUGAUCCAGCAAUACCGCGUGGGUGAAGAAGGCCUUCGGGUUGUAAAGCCCUUUUGUUGGGAAAGAAAAGAAGUAGGUUAAUACCCCGCUGUUCUGACGGUACCCAAAGAAUAAGCAACGGCUAACUUCGUG
This 492-nucleotide ribosomal RNA is filed under the name uncultured bacterium. RNAcentral describes it as "partial 16S ribosomal RNA". It matches the Rfam family "Bacterial small subunit ribosomal RNA", at positions 29 to 507 of the family's 1533-position model. The record is from RNAcentral.